Molecule: transfer RNA, 73 nt
Filed under: Betaproteobacteria bacterium MOLA814
Lineage: Bacteria; Pseudomonadati; Pseudomonadota; Betaproteobacteria
Rfam family: tRNA
About the family: Transfer RNA (tRNA) molecules are approximately 80 nucleotides in length. Their secondary structure includes four short double-helical elements and three loops (D, anti-codon, and T loops). Further hydrogen bonds mediate the characteristic L-shaped molecular structure. tRNAs have two regions of fundamental functional importance: the anti-codon, which is responsible for specific mRNA codon recognition, and the 3' end, to which the tRNAs corresponding amino acid is attached (by aminoacyl-tRNA synthetases). tRNAs cope with the degeneracy of the genetic code in two manners: having more than one tRNA (with a specific anti-codon) for a particular amino acid; and 'wobble' base-pairing, i.e. permitting non-standard base-pairing at the 3rd anti-codon position.
Source: Rfam by way of RNAcentral
GCGGCUGUAGCUCAGUGGAUAGAGUAUUGGCCUCCGAAGCCAAGGGUCGUGGGUUCGAUACCCGCCAGCCGCA